RNAcentral lists this non-coding RNA (30 nucleotides) under Homo sapiens (human). The record is from RNAcentral. Lineage: Eukaryota; Metazoa; Chordata; Mammalia; Primates; Hominidae.
UGCCUUGGUGUUAUCCUCCUCUAGUCCUGC